AUGAUGGCGCGAGCCGAAAAACUGAAGGGGGAUGUCAGCCUGUUAUUUAAGACUUGCAACGGCAUGACGGCGCGAAUGUUCUUGGUGGAUACACUCCAACAUCUUGGAAUAGAUCACCACUUUGAGGAGCAGAUCCAUGACUCUUUAAACGAAAUCCUAGAGAGUGACUUUAGUAGCUCAUCCAGCCUCCAUGAGGUCGCUCUUCGGUUCCGUUUACUUAGAGAGAAUGGGCAUUGGGUAUCUCCAGGUAUCUAA
RNAcentral lists this ribosomal RNA (255 nucleotides) under Triticum aestivum (bread wheat). RNAcentral describes it as "partial small subunit ribosomal RNA". The record is from RNAcentral. Lineage: Eukaryota; Viridiplantae; Streptophyta; Magnoliopsida; Poales; Poaceae.